UACGGAGGGGGCUAGCGUUGUUCGGAAUUACUGGGCGUAAAGCGCACGUAGGCGGCUUUGUAAGUUAGAGGUGAAAGCCCGGGGCUCAACUCCGGAAUUGCCUUUAAGACUGCAUCGCUAGAAUUGUGGAGAGGUAAGUGGAAUUCCGAGUGUAGAGGUGAAAUUCGUAGAUAUUCGCAAGAACACCAGUGGCGAAGGCGGCUCACUGGCCCGGUACUGACGCUGAGGUGCGAAAGCGUGGGGAGCAAACA
Molecule: ribosomal RNA, 251 nt
Filed under: uncultured bacterium
Lineage: Bacteria
Description: partial 16S ribosomal RNA
Rfam family: Bacterial small subunit ribosomal RNA
Source: RNAcentral